This 257-nucleotide ribosomal RNA is filed under the name uncultured bacterium. Its description in RNAcentral is "partial 16S ribosomal RNA". It matches the Rfam family "Bacterial small subunit ribosomal RNA", at positions 526 to 779 of the family's 1533-position model. The record is from RNAcentral.
CGUAGGGUGCAAGCGUUAAUCGGAAUUACUGGGCGUAAAGCGUGCGCAGGCGGUUUUGUAAGUCUGUCGUGAAAGCCCCGGGCUCAACCUGGGAAUUGCGAUGGAGACUGCAAGGCUUGAAUCUGGCAGAGGGGGGUAGAAUUCCACGUGUAGCAGUGAAAUGCGUAGAGAUGUGGAGGAACACCGAUGGCGAAGGCAGCCCCCUGGGGUCAAGAUUGACGCUCAUGCACGAAAAGCGUGGGGAGCAAAACAGGAUU